CAGUGCUUGCAAGCCUGUGUGUUGAGGGGUCUUUUGGUGAGCGGUUAACUCAUGUUUCAGAACAACAGGGCAGCAUUUGGAACAUAAAAGGGACAUGCAAGACGACUUUCUCGCCAAGGGGAAGCUCUGGGCUUAGGUCACGCUGAACCCUGUGGGUGCGCGGAGGUGCUCCAUGACCUGCACUGCAGCCUGCAGAAGGUAGAGGGCGCCAUGGGUGGAAUCCCACUUGGUCUCCAUUUCCGCUGUCAAGAUCCUUAACUUCCGGUGUCGCUAAUGGGAUGGGCUGACCCGUGUUUCACCGAGUGCUUGCUCUCUGUCUGCAGGGCCUGUGUGCGCAGAGUUUGGGUGUUGGAGGCCGCUGCGGAAGGGCUGGGCCGGGAGCUGCAGCGCCCGGGGCGUGGCGUGCCAAGUCUCAGCCCGGCAGACCCGGCUUGACGGACUCUGGCUCCCAGCAGGCCGGGCGAGCCCUCCAUGUUGGAAAGGCUUAGGAGAUGUUCAGGGGACCUGGCAAGGUUCAGGCCUGCUCCAGAGAAUUCGUGCUUCUCCACCCGCUUGGAUUUGGUGAAGACUUCAUAGACACAGGCGGUGGUGCCAGCCUUACAGCUAAAGAGACUUCCAGAACAUCCUGGGGCUAACCUGAGGGAGGGCCGCUGGAGAAGAGUGGCUAGGACGCGAACCUGUGGUAUCUUCAGAGGAAGUGAGCGUUUCCUCUGUGCAAACAGCACCCAUGAAAUCUCCCUGCUGUUACACGUUGUAAAUGGGUUUGUGUUCAGAACCAUUGGGGCUGCUUGGGGUCUGGUGUUGAGAAGAAUCAUAACCCUGAUACUAAAGAGAGCAGCAGGCACUGGGAAACAGAAUCCAACAUCAAGUUCAUUCCAGUCUCUGGCCCCAGAAAGCACGCUGGGGAAACUCUGCUUUAGGUAGUAGGAAUUCCUAUCAAAGUUGUUUACAAACUGUUUUGUGAUGCUGUGAGUUGUGAUGCAAAUCCUGUUUUCUUACUGAUUUACGUUCUGGGUUUGUGGACUGCCAAAAUUACAAAAAUAAAUCUUAAUUUGAGCUAUCAUAAGUUCAGACUUUGUGAUAGCUCAGAUGUGAAUCUAUGAACGUUUAUCUUCGUCUACUUCGUUAUCUGUUUCUUCUUAGAGAAUACAGAUGAACAGGACGAAAAUAAAAGAAGCCUGUAAUCCCAGCACUUUGGGAGGCCGAGGCGGGCAGAUCACGAGGUCAAGAGAUCGAGACCACCCUGGGUAAACAAGGUGAAACCUCGUCUCUACUAAAACUACAAAAAUUAGCUGGGCAUGGUGGCGCAUGCCUGUAAUCCCAGCUACUCAGGAGGCUGAGGCAGGAGAAUUGCCUGAACCCAGGAGGCGGAGGUUGCGGUGAGCCGAGAUCGCGCCAUUGCGCUCCAGCCUGGGUAGAGCUCCGUCUCAAAAAAAAAAAAAAAAAAAGCAAAACUCUGUCUCAAAAAAAAAAAAAAAAAAUCUUCGAUGGAAAUUACUUCCAAGCACCUACAAGUAUUUUAGAAAAGCCAAUAAUAGAAAACUUACAUUGUUCUAAAUAAGCACACAUGGAUUGAACACUGCUGGUCACCAUGGGGUGGGGGUGUCGGUAAGGAUAUAAAGAGAAAGAGGAAGUCUCUGCCCUCAGCAUUUAAAAGCAACACCAGGUCAGAUGUGGUGGCUCCUGCGUGUAAUCCCAGCACUUUGGCAGGCCAAGGCAGGAGGAUCGCUUGAGGCCAGGAAUUUGAGACCAGACCGGGGAAUAUAGCAAAAAAAAAAAAAAAAAAAAAAAAUUAGUCCAGCCUGGUAGCAUGCACCUGUAGUCCUAGCUACUUGGGAGGCUGAGGCUUUAGGAUCUCCUGAGCCCAGGAGUUGGAUGCUACAGUGAGCUAUGAUUGUGUUACUGCACUAUAGUCUGGGGGACAGAGUGAAACUCUGUCUCUAAAAAAAAUAAAAGUUAAAAGCAAAACGCCAAGGGCUCAAAUCGCUAAGGGCUCAAAUAAAUUUAAUACAAGACAGAGUGUUUUAAAUAUAUCCCUUUCAUUUCCAAACUUCUUAAAAGGGGAAAUUAUGUUUCUUGCUGCCCUCCUGUACCUCACACUCAAAUUUCAAACCAAUGAAGUGUGAUUUCUUUAAAAAAAUUUUUUUUUUAAUUUUCAAAACUUGGUUUUUACCUUUUAGAGACUAUUUUUUGGAGAUGGAGUUCUCACUAGGUUGCCCUGGCUAGGCUCCAAUUCCUAGGUACAAGCGAUCCUCCCGCCUCAGCCUCCCAAGUAGCUGGGACAACAUGCAUGUCCCUCCAUGCCUGGCUUGAAGCCUGAUUUCUAAUCCUUCCAAUCGACUGAAAUGCUUAACAUUCACUAAUCGAUAGGCAGUCAGUAGCCUGUCUUCAGUUCUCUUCCUUAAAUCUUCGUGGCGUUCAAUGCUACCGAUUGUUCUCAACUUCUUGUUACACUGUGAUCCCUGUAUUCUUUCUCCUGUCUGGUUUCCAUCCUACCUCAUGAAUAUUCUUUUAGAGGCUCUUACUGACUCUUCUGUCAGUCUUAUAAUGCCAUUGUUUCCCAGGGUUUCAUCCUCACGUUUUCUCUUCUCACUUUGGAUGCUUUCUCUGAACAAGCUCGUACGCUCCCAUCACUUCAACCAUAAUUGAUAUAUACACCGUAACUCACAAAUGUGCUCUUAGCACUGACCCUCCCACCGACAAAAGUAAGCCUCUUAAAGCUCCUGAGCACUAAGUGGUAGAUGAAGAGGAAGAUUAUUAUGUUGGCGGUGUGAGGAAUGGGUUGGAUGGAGGUACAGUACAGAAGGCAUGUGGGUCAGGAGCCUUUGGGUUUAGGUGAGAGGUUAUGAGGAGCUCUUGAUCUAUUGCAAAUUUGCUUUACUUCCAUUCUGCCUCUUGCCACAACAUCUUAAGUUAGGUGUUUAUGCGCCUGCCUCCUUUACCAGGCUGUUUGAGGGGAAGGACUAUGACUUUUCUCUUUGUCUCUUUCAUCCACAGUAAAUAUGGUAGUAUGAUUACUUACACCAUUCAGGCAGCAGUGGGCUAGGAAAAGAGGGAAGACGUCUUUGACGGUGAUAUACUUGUUGAAGGCACGUGUUGACCAGUUGGAUGUGAAGCCUGAGAAGCGUGACGAGCACUGACCAGAUGGUUAGUUAUGGAGACGUCCAUAAUUGGAACCCAAAGCCUGCAUUCCAAGCCAGUGUGCUGGAGACUACUGGAGACCACACCAGGCCCUUGGCUACCUUCUCUGUGGCCUCCAAAAGAGCAGCAAUCACAGCAGCACCAAAUUUAAGGACCAUGUGAAACUCCAAAUUAACCCUUCAGGAGCUCACCUGGCCGUAGAAGUCUUUGGCCUUCCCAAUCCAAACCCGUCUUACAGCAUUUGCUGAAUUGCUGCACUUCAACCUCAUUCAGCACAGACACGCAACACGCUCCUUCCAUGGCUGCUGUGGCUGAUGCUUUUCCUGAUGUUUGCUGUGGCCAAACGUUCAAGCCCCAGCACUCAUGUGCAGUUCUGUUUUAAUCAGCAGAAUCACUUAACAUCUGAGAAGUUCAGGCACAUUUCUUGUCAAUCAUGCGCUGGCCUCUGUCAGUCUUUGACCUCGCUUCUUUUAGAUUCCAUCUGCCUCUCCUCCUUCGAAACAUGAUGUGACUUAUUUCCAGAAUGGUUUUUUAGAAACUGAGAUUAUGGGAUAAUGAACUGAGCCAGUCUCCGUCAUAGAAAGGGUUUCUUCACCUUCCCCAGUGACUGACCAAAGCUGUGUUGCUAUUCAACAGAUAGCGACAUGUUCAUAGCGCAUAGCAUCAAAACAGCGCACCACUGUGCAGAUACUGACACGUCUAUGCAAUCAAGAACAGUGUGCCAGUGGGCGCUCCGAGUCCCAAGGAGGCACUUCCACUGAUAUCUUGGCCACGACGUGCAAGAGCAACAAGUCAUUAGAUUUGAUUUUCAGAGUUGUUCUACAAGGAACGUAGGCUUCACGUCAUACACGCUCCUCCUUGCUGGAGGGACCGUCCAUGCUGAUUUAUGGCAGUUAUCCCAAUGUCACACUGUCCUGCCUUGCAUUUGUCAUAGGCGGGAGUAUCCAGAUUUGGAAGAUAAAGCUUUCCCCCUGUUUGCUAUCUCCUCAUCCCACCCCGGCCCAUGAAUGGGACACAAGUCUCGCUUUGCAUGAACUGUGGCAAGGGAGUGUACUGUACUGUGAUCUGGGUGUGAGAAGAAGCCUAGACAAGAAAGGGCAGCCUUGUGCAAACAAAUGGGGAUCUCCAGCCAGGCCCACCUGGUCCCAGGUAGAGGCAGGGCAGGCUGCUGUAGGGGCUGAAAUCCACAGAAAGGUGGCCCCGGUCGCUGAAUACAGCAGGCUCAUGUAAGAGGCACUUCCUAGGAGUCUGUGGGAGACUGCGUUUUUUCUGGCACAGGACAUUAUGUAAAUGCUCAGGGAAGAGUCGUUAACUGAUUAACAGAUGAGUAUAAAUUACCGUGUAUGAUUAAGUGAUUAAUACCUAUUGUGAACUAGCAAAGCCCAAGGAGAAUAGAGCCUGAUGAAGUGAGACUAAAUAUUUUGCCUGUGCCGUUGCAAGGUUUUUAGGCACAUGUGUGGCAUCUCAUUUUGAUGUUCUUUUUCUUCUGUUAUUUUAUAACGGGGAAAGAAGAAAUGACAAAGGGCAGAGAAACCAAUCUUUAGUAAACCCAGACACAUCGUACACCCUGUGGCAGGGGCCUCUCGGCAGCUGCGUGUGGAAAUAGCUGUUGCCCCAUUUUACAGACCAAGCGAUGGGGCUUGGAGCAGCCAAGUGAACUGCCAAAGGUGGCAGAACCAGGACUGGCAGCCGGGAUGAAACCCAAAUCUCAUCAGCUUCCUGGGAUGAGAAGCUUAAAGGAAAACCAUGGCUUGAUCUUGGAUGAGUUGUGAUGAUUGUGAAAAUGACGAGUGUGUAAAAUUGGUGAUGGUGAUGACCAUCUCCGUUACGGAGCUCCCGGCACCCUGCUAAGCUUCGCAUGUUUGUUAUUUGACUGAAUACAUAUGAACUACCUGUGAGGUAGGUGUUAUGAACAUCUGGUUGUUCCAGAAUUCCAUCCCAGCUGUGUCUGCUAACAAAGCCUGUGUCCCCAGCCCUCGGUCUGCUGGGACAAAUGGAGCAGGACCCAAGGGUGGAUGCAAACUCCCAACUAGAGCUUGAUGCCAAGAAACCUUGAAGUCCCCAGCUUUGAGACGGAGCUGAGUGCCUGUUUGGACAAGAGCCCAAAGGAGAAAUCCCCUUUGCUUACCCCAAACCUCUUGAGCUUCUGGAAGGCAAGAGUGCAGCUGACUCCAUGCAAAGCCAGUGCCAUGCUUGUGCAGCGCUGAUGAACGUCACCAACGCUAGUGAGGACCACCUUCAAAACCCAUCCAGCCUCAACCAGUUUAAGCAUCCGUGUUCGUGACUCAGCCGUGUUUCUCUGAGUAACCAUCCCUGUGAUCCACGUAUCUGAUGCCAGAUUUUUCCUGCUGUUCUAAAUGUCCUGCCUCUGCUUUUGCAUGUAUCUCUAUGUAUUUUUGCAUUUUAGUAUGUAUAAUCUUACAAUUCACUAGAGAAAUAAGCCAAUGUGCAAAUAGACCAAUAAAUGAAGUGCUCAGAUCUGUAGGAAUAUCACAAGGCAUUACCGGGCCAUAUUUAAAAAUCCCCUUUUAAGAAGCAUAGCAAUAUUAUGUCAGAUCGUUU
Molecule: long non-coding RNA, 5703 nt
Organism: Callithrix jacchus (white-tufted-ear marmoset)
Lineage: Eukaryota; Metazoa; Chordata; Mammalia; Primates; Cebidae
Source: RefSeq, a predicted model, not a curated record